RNAcentral lists this long non-coding RNA (273 nucleotides) under Nicotiana benthamiana. RNAcentral describes it as "long non-coding RNA (NBEN_LNC013488)". Lineage: Eukaryota; Viridiplantae; Streptophyta; Magnoliopsida; Solanales; Solanaceae. The record is from RNAcentral.
GAUUGCACAAGCUAUGGAACCGUAUCACACCAUAAUCAACAUUAUGUUGAGCAUAGUAAGGUCCAUUCUGCAAAAAAAGUAUAUUAAUUGUCAUUAGAAUGAAGCUAGAUUUCAGCAUUACAAUAUAUAAUGUAACAUAUCAUAUAACUACAUUUUUAACAUACAAACUACAUUUUUCCUACAUUCUCAGUAGAAGUUAUUUUCCAAAAGUAUAACAUAAAUUUUAACCUACAAACAACAGUAUAACUACAAGGAACUAUACUGUAACUAUAA